Ornithorhynchus anatinus (platypus) is the source of this 777-nucleotide long non-coding RNA. RefSeq lists it as uncharacterized. Lineage: Eukaryota; Metazoa; Chordata; Mammalia; Monotremata; Ornithorhynchidae. The record is from RefSeq and is a predicted model, not a curated record. The transcript is spliced from 3 exons.
CGAGACUCCUACUCAUUUAGUUUCCUAAGGUUGCUAUUUAUUUAGCCACAACUCUAAAGAAGGUCUCUAUAUGUUCUUAACAAAAAGAGUUCAGAGAAUGCCUUGUGGACACUGAGAUCAUGAAGACAUGCAUAUAGGAUUCUUCCUUCGUUAUUACUCUCCAAAAGGACCCAAAUCUGAUCUUCACAGAAGAGCACCUGGCCUAAUGGAAAGAGCACGGUCCUGGAGAUUUGAGCUGGUAGCCCAGGAAAUUUCUGGCCAGUAAUAACCUCACCUGGAGUGGAUUUCCCAGAUCCUGCUCUGGCACCCUGAGGACUCUGCUAAGACUGAAGAAGCAAAAUGGGUAUCAAAUAUGUGUGUCUCCAUUUCACCCUCUUUAAUAUUGGAUUGUUGAGCACUCCGGUUCACUCCAUGGUUCAGAUCUUCCACUUUAAAUCUAUUUUGUGGGAGGAGAUGUUGAAUUCUGAGUUGAUCCAGUCAUCCUCUUUGAGUUCCAUUUGCUGAUAUUUGAUCUUUAAAAUGUGUGGAAUAUAUCUUCAUAACUGGGAUAACUUAGAGUUCAUGAAACAAUUUAAUAUGAAGUAUUACUAUAACAGAAAUUUAAAAUGUUCUUUUCUAACUGGUUAAAUAAUAGUAGUAGGGUUGAACCUAGGUUCAGUACUAUAGUUUGGAGGGAGAUUUUCAGGACACUUCGUCAGUAAGGAUCCUGUAGUUCUAUUCUUUCUCUAAACAUUUUAGAGAAUGUUUUGGGUAAGGAAUCAAUCAAUCGCAUUUACU